UACGUAGGGGGCAAGCGUUGUCCAGAAUUACUGGGCGUAAAGCGUGCGCAGGCGGCGCCGCAAGUCAGGCGUGAAAUCCCCGAGCUUAACUUGGGAAUGGCGCUUGAAACUACGGUGCUGGAGUGUGGAAGAGGGAGGUGGAAUUCCACGUGUAGCGGUGAAAUGCGUAGAGAUGUGGAGGAACACCGAUGGCGAAGGCAGCCUCCUGGGCCAACACUGACGCUCAUGCACGAAAGCGUGGGGAGCAAACAGG
RNAcentral lists this ribosomal RNA (253 nucleotides) under uncultured bacterium. Its description in RNAcentral is "partial 16S ribosomal RNA". It matches the Rfam family "Bacterial small subunit ribosomal RNA", at positions 524 to 776 of the family's 1533-position model. The record is from RNAcentral.